GUUGAACGCUGGCGGCGUGCCUAAUACAUGCAAGUCGAGCGAACGGACGAGAAGCUUGCCUCUCUGAUGUUAGCGGCGGACGGGUGAGUAACACGUGGAUAACCUACCUAUAAGACUGGGAUAACUUCGGGAAACCGGAGCUAAUACCGGAUAAUAUUUUGAACCGCAUGGUUCAAAAGUGAAAGACGGUCUUGCUGUCACUUAUAGAUGGAUCCGCGCUGCAUUAGCUAGUUGGUAAGGUAACGGCUUACCAAGGCAACGAUGCAUAGCCGACCUGAGAGGGUGAUCGGCCACACUGGAACUGAGACACGGUCCAGACUCCUACGGGAGGCAGCAGUAGGGAAUCUUCCGCAAUGGGCGAAAGCCUGACGGAGCAACGCCGCGUGAGUGAUGAAGGUCUUCGGAUCGUAAAACUCUGUUAUUAGGGAAGAACAUAUGUGUAAGUAACUGUGCACAUCUUGACGGUACCUAAUCAGAAAGCCACGGCUAACUACGUG
RNAcentral lists this ribosomal RNA (497 nucleotides) under uncultured bacterium. Its description in RNAcentral is "partial 16S ribosomal RNA". It matches the Rfam family "Bacterial small subunit ribosomal RNA", at positions 28 to 507 of the family's 1533-position model. The record is from RNAcentral.